UUCUGACAGACGCGGUGGCCUAAUGGUUAGUACGUUGGACUCCAGAUCGAGUGGUCCGGGUUCGAGCCCUACCCGGGGAG
RNAcentral lists this transfer RNA (80 nucleotides) under Desmophyllum pertusum. Its description in RNAcentral is "tRNA-Trp". Lineage: Eukaryota; Metazoa; Cnidaria; Anthozoa; Scleractinia; Caryophylliidae. The record is from RNAcentral.